Long non-coding RNA from Camelina sativa (false flax), 737 nucleotides. RefSeq lists it as uncharacterized. The record is from RefSeq and is a predicted model, not a curated record. Lineage: Eukaryota; Viridiplantae; Streptophyta; Magnoliopsida; Brassicales; Brassicaceae.
CGACCUCUUCUCUUUUUCCCAGAGUUAGCCUCCGGAGCCUUCAGCGAAGGGUGGGGAGGCAAAUCUUUUUCCAGUUCCAGUGGGGUUUCUUGGUUUGAGGUGGGGGGGGUCCAGAGCGAGAUGAUUAGCCAGCUGAGCAGCUUCGAUGAUUUUUGAGGCUGUUUCAGCCGUUAGACCCCUGGCUUCCCCUUGGAUCACUCUACAUUUCCUGGCUGCACUCUCUACUGGAUCUGCACAGCUAAUAUACUGCACUGUUACGUCUCUAAGCUCGCCCAGGACCUCAUCUGUAGUAGGGAUUGGAGGAGGGGGUGGUGGUGUGACUUCAGUGGUUGACAUGGUUCUUUCCAAGGGUGGUCGUCGUGUUCUUGAGUUCUCAGACGCCUCAGGUAGAGUUUGAUGGUAUUCUUUCUCUCGGGUUCCUGCUUCCCAUAGCAUGGUCUUUUGAAGAGAAGGAUCGUCUGGAAUAGCUUUCACCCUGUUUCCUGUGACCAUAAUGGUAGUCACUAGGAGAUGUUUGGGAGGAUCUCCUACUUCUCGUCGGGCUGAGUGUUUUCCUGUGGUCAGAGGGGGCAGCACUCGAGAAACCACGAUUCUCAGAUAUGUUCUCCUUUGUAGAGGGAGCACGGAAAUUAUCACUCGGUGUAUAAUAGUUUCUUCGCACUUCAGGAUGCCAGAAAUGUUUAGGGAGACCUUGGAUCUCCACCCAGAAGGGAAUCAUAGAAGGAAAAGUCUCGGAG